RNAcentral lists this long non-coding RNA (257 nucleotides) under Lathyrus oleraceus (garden pea). Its description in RNAcentral is "Pisum sativum (pea) long non-coding RNA (PSAT_LNC001206)". The record is from RNAcentral. Lineage: Eukaryota; Viridiplantae; Streptophyta; Magnoliopsida; Fabales; Fabaceae.
UCAAACAAUGUGAGAUUAUUUUGGUCAUUAAAAAAAAUAACAAAAACAAAAAUCCAGCUACUACAAACCACUAUAAUUUUAGUUUUAUAAAUGAUAAUAUAAAUUUAUUCUUUAUUUUAAUUUUUAAUUUGAUUUUAUAAUUUUUUAAAGUCAAGUAUGUCUUAUUUUAACUUUAAUAUUUUAAUGUGUCCUUAAUUUUAUUUUGUUUGAAUAGGACGAAUUUAGUAUAUCUCUUAUAAAAGUAAAGACCAUUUAAA